RNAcentral lists this small nuclear RNA (105 nucleotides) under Jaculus jaculus (lesser Egyptian jerboa). The record is from RNAcentral. Lineage: Eukaryota; Metazoa; Chordata; Mammalia; Rodentia; Dipodidae.
GUGCUCUCUGUGGCAGCACUUAUACUAUAAUUGAAAUGAACAGAGAAGUUUAACAUGACACCAAUAAAAAGAUGACACACAAAAUCUUACAUGUUCCAUAUUUUA